ACAAGCUACUUUUAAGGCGUGCGGCGGAUGCCUAGGCACUGGCUGGCGACGAAGGGCGCGGAAGGCCGCGAUAGGCCGCGGGGAGCCGUCUUCAGGCUUCGAUCCGCGGGUGCCCGAAUGGGGAAACCCGGCGCGAUAUGUCGCGUCGCCGGACGGGGGAACACAUGCCCCGCCGGAGCGAACCCCGGGAACUGAAACAUCUAAGUACCGGGAGGAGAAGAAAGAGAAUCGAUUCCGUCAGUAGUGGCGAGCGAAAGCGGAGGAGCCCAAAUGGGGAGGAAUUGCGCGAUUCGGAGGGGAACGGCCUGGGAGGGCCGGCCACAGAGGGCGACAGCCCCGUACCCCGAGAAGGACGCAUGUCUCCCCGAGAGAGUACGCCGGGUCACGAGAAACCCCGGCGGAAGACGGCGGGACCACCCGCCAAGGCUAAACACAGACCAGUGACCGAUAGCGAACAAGUACCGUGAGGGAAAGGUGAAAAGAACCCCGGGAGGGGGAUGAAAAGAUCCUGAAACCGCAUGCCGGCGACCGGACCGAGGGCGUCGAAGCCUGAGGUCGUGCCUAUUGAAGAAUGAGCCUGCGAGUUGUCGAUGCCAGCGAGGCUAAGCGGAAGACGCGGAGCCGCAGGGAAACCGAGCCCGAACAGGGCGCGAGUUGGCACCGGCAGACCCGAAACCCGGCGAUCUAGCCAUGGCCAGGAUGAAAGAGGGGCGAAACCCUCCGGAGGUCCGAACCGACGUUCGUUGAAAAGACCGCGGAUGAGCCGUGGCUCGUGGUGAAAUUCCAAUCGAGCCGGGUUAUAGCUGGUUCUCCCCGAAAUAGCUCUUGGGCUAGCCUCGGGGCUGUGCGCCGACGGAGGUAGAGCCACCGAUGGGGCGAGGGGCGCGUCGAACGCCUUCGAGCCCCGCCGAACUCCGAAUGCCGCCGGCGAAGCCCCGGGAGUCGGUCUGCGGGAGAUAAGUUCCGUGGACGAGAGGGAAAGAGCCCGGACCGCCGAUUAAGGCCCCAAAGUGCGCGCCGAGUGCUGAGAAGGAGGUGGGGCGGCUCAAACAGCCAGGAUGUUGGCUCAGAGGCAGCCAUCAUUCAAAGAAUGCGUAACAGCUCACUGGUCAAGCCGCCCCGCGCCGACAAUUUACCGGGGCUAAAGCGCGCCGCCGAAAUCGCGGGAUCCGUAGGAUCGGUAGGGGAGCGUCGCCUGUGCGGCGAAGCGGGACCGCGAGGGCCCGUGGAGCGCAGGCGAGCGAGAAUGCAGGCGUUAGUAGCGACGGGGGGUGGGAAUCCCCCCAGCCGGAUGGCCGAGGUCUCCCGGGCGAGGUUCGUCCUCCCGGGGUCAGCCGGGGCCUAAGACGAGGCCGAGAGGCGCAGUCGAUGGGAAUGCGGCGAAGAUUCCGCAGCCCGUCCGCGUGGCGAUGACCGUGACGGGGGUGGCAAGGCAGCCCGGGCGAUCGGAAGAGCCCGGCGGCCGGCGCGCAGGGGCGGGGGAGCCAAAGCUCUUCCCCGGAUGCCCCAGGGCCGGACGGGAGGAAAGCGGGAGACCGCGAGUACGAAGGCGCCGGGGACACCCUCCAGGAAAAGCGGCUAGCGUCAGAGCGCGGGCGGCCCGUACCAAGAACGGACACACGUGGCCUGGGCGAGAAGCCCGAGGCUAGCGAGACAACUGUUGCUAAGGAACUCUGCAAGACUGCUUCGCAAGCUAGCGAGAAGAAGCGCCCGGGGGCGAACAGCCCCGCGGGCCGCAGCGAAGAGGCAGGGGUGACUGUUUACCAAAAACACAGCUCUGUGCGAAGCCGCAAGGCGACGUAUACGGGGUGAUGCCUGCCCGGUGCUGGAAGGUUAAGGGGAGGGGUCAGGCCGCAAGGCCGAAGCCCCGAGCCGAAGCCCCAGUGAACGGCGGCCGUAACUAUAACGGUCCUAAGGUAGCGAAAUUCCUUGUC
RNAcentral lists this ribosomal RNA (1934 nucleotides) under human gut metagenome. RNAcentral describes it as "bacterial LSU rRNA". It matches the Rfam family "Bacterial large subunit ribosomal RNA", at positions 1 to 1973 of the family's 2925-position model. The record is from RNAcentral.